This 1251-nucleotide ribosomal RNA is filed under the name Physopelta slanbuschii. RNAcentral's name for it is "16S ribosomal RNA". The stretch from base 824 to 1179 matches the Rfam family "Archaeal large subunit ribosomal RNA", at positions 2153 to 2713 of the family's 2987-position model. Lineage: Eukaryota; Metazoa; Arthropoda; Insecta; Hemiptera; Largidae. The record is from RNAcentral.
GAGUAUAUAUUAUGUUAUUUUUUUUUUUUUUAUUUAUUUUUAAGGGAAAUAACUUGUUUUUAAGUAAUGUUUUAUGAAUUUUAUUUAUUAAUUAUAGUUAAUUGUACUGUAAGGGACUUAUUUUUUUUAUGUGUAAGUAUACAUUUAUGUAGUACCUUUUGUAUCAGGGUUUAUUAAAAUUAUUUAAUUAUAUUAAUUAUCCCGAAAGUAAAAGAUAUAGGAUUGUAUAGUUUUUUAUGUUUUAUAAUAAUUUUUAAUACAAUUUUAGGGAUUAUAUGUUAUUCAAUUUUAUAUAUCUGGUUCUUUAAUAAAUAAAUUUAAUUUAUGUUACUUAUUAGUUUUUUUAUAUUUUAAUUUGUAAAAAUUUAAGUUUCAGAGAUUGUUGGGGAUAAGCUUGACAUUAUUCUAUAAUUUUUUUCUUCAUUAAAUUUAGUAGGAUUAAUAAUGUCCAUCUUAAAUUUCGUUAUAGUUUUAUUUAAUUAUUUAUUUUAUUUAGUAUUUAUUUAGUUUUUUAUUAAAGUUAAUUAUUUAAUAUUAUUUUAUUUGUAAUAAUGAUAAAAUUAGUAGAUUAUUACUUUAGGUUCAGUAACUCGGCAAUUUUUACCCACGCCUGUUUAACAAAAACAUGUCUUAUAGAUAAUAAUUUUAAGUCGGGCCUGCUCAAUGAAUUUUUAAAUAGCCAUGGUAUCUUAACCAUGCAAAGGUAGCAUAAUCAUUUGUCUUUUAAUUGAAGGCUUGUAUGAAGGGUUUGACGAUGGGUAAACUUUCUUAAUCUAAAUUUAAUUAAAUUUAAUAUCUGGGUAAAAAGGCUUAGAUUUAGUUUUGGGACGAGAAGACCCUAUAGAAUUUUAUUAUUAUUGGUUGAUUUUGUUAUUGUAUUAAUAAUAAUAACUUUUAAUAAUUUUGUUGGGGCGACAGUGGAAUUUCAUUAACUUCUAUUAUAAAUUUUUCAUUAAUUAGUGUUUUAUUGAUCCCUUAUUAUGGAUUAUAAGAUUAAAUUACCUUAGGGAUAACAGCGUAAUUAUUUUGGAGAGUUCUUAUCGAUGAAAUAGUUUGCGACCUCGAUGUUGGAUUAAAGUUAAUUAUUGGUGCAGAAAUUAAUAAAUUAGGUCUGUUCGACCUUUAAAUCUUUACAUGAUCUGAGUUCAGACCGGCGUGAGCCAGGUUGGUUUCUAUCUAUAAUUUUUUUAAAUAGUUUAGUACGAAAGGAUUUGCUAUUUUUAAUAUUUAAUUUUUCUUUGAUUUAUAUUA